GACGAACGCUGGCGGCGUGCUUAACACAUGCGAGUCGAACGAUGAAGCCGGAGCUUGCUCUGGUGAAUUAGUGGCGAACGGGUGAGUAACACGUGAGUAACUUGCCCUUGACUCUGGAAUAACUGCGGGAAACUGUAGCUAAUACCGGAGACGACCCUAGGAGGCAUCUCCUGGGGGUGGGAAGAAUUUCGGUCAAGGAUGGACUCGCGGCCUAUCAGCUAGCUGGUGAGGUAAAGGCGCACCAAGGCGACGACGGGUAGCCAGCCUGAGAGGGUGACCGGCCACACUGGGACUGAGAGACGGCCCAGACUCCUACGGGAGGCAGCAGUGGGGAAUAUUGCACAAUGGGCGCAAGCCUGAUGCAGCAACGCCGCGUGAGGGAUGACGGCCUUCGGGUUGUAAGCCUCUUUUAGCAGGGAAGAAGCGAAAGUGACGGUACCUGCAGAAAAAGCACCGGCUAACUACGUGCCAGCAGCCGCAGUAA
RNAcentral lists this ribosomal RNA (484 nucleotides) under uncultured bacterium. Its description in RNAcentral is "partial 16S ribosomal RNA". It matches the Rfam family "Bacterial small subunit ribosomal RNA", at positions 28 to 523 of the family's 1533-position model. The record is from RNAcentral.